Molecule: long non-coding RNA, 500 nt
Organism: Hemicordylus capensis (graceful crag lizard)
Lineage: Eukaryota; Metazoa; Chordata; Lepidosauria; Squamata; Cordylidae
Exons: 3
Source: RefSeq, a predicted model, not a curated record
GCUACCGGGUCUCUGCCAUCUCCCCUCCUGCUGCCGGGCUUCCCCUGCUCUUCAAAGGGGCAUUCAAGCCCAUUCUGGGGCUGUUCCAGCCCUUCCUCCAGUGGUGAUGGCCAUUUUGGAGGUCGCCGCACAUUUGCCCUGGAGGCUCUUUGAAGAACGGGGGAAGGCCACUGGGGGGAGGGGGAGAUGGCAGAGAUCCCCCUGCAGCAGCACCCCUGGACCUGGCAUAAAACCCCAGUCUGGGAAACCGCCUGCUUAUUACUCCCUCAGUCCUAUUGUCUGCCCCCAGAUGCGUCUGCUAUACUGAGAGGGGCAGAUAACAGAAAAAGCAAAGAGACAGAAUGAGUGUCAAGGCAUUUAAAGAUGCUAAUGAGGAUGCUGGCCUUGAGGUUAACGAGACUGGAACUGAGUGCACAGACUGCUUGUACUUCUCCAAGGCAGAACCUAAUUUCCCUCAUACUAGAAUUUUGCCAAAUUAACUAAUUAUUAAAUUAUAUUGC